RNAcentral lists this ribosomal RNA (497 nucleotides) under uncultured bacterium. Its description in RNAcentral is "partial 16S ribosomal RNA". It matches the Rfam family "Bacterial small subunit ribosomal RNA", at positions 28 to 507 of the family's 1533-position model. The record is from RNAcentral.
GAUGAACGCUGGCGGCGUGCCUAAUACAUGCAAGUCGAGCGAACAGACGAGGUGCUUGCGCCUCUGACGUUAGCGGCGGACAGGUGAGUAACAGGUAGAUAACCUAUCUAUAAGACUUGGAUAACUGCGGGAAACCGGAGCUAAGACCGGUUCAUAUAUUCAACCGCAUGGUUCAAUAGUGAAAGCCGGGUUUGGUGUUACUUCUAGAUGGUUCCGCGCCGCAUUAGCUAGUUGGGAAGGUAACGGCUUACCAAGGCAACGAUGCGCAGCCCACCUGAGAGAGUGGUAGGCCACACUGGAACUCAGCCAGGGACAAUACUCCUGCGGGAGGGCCCAGUCUGCAAUCUUACGCAACGGGCGAGAGCCUGACGGAGUAACGCAGAGCGAGAGACGAAGAUCUUGGGAUCGUAAAACUCGGUUUUUAGUGAAAAACCAAUGUGUACGUAGAUGUGCACGUCGUGACGGUACCUGAACAAAAAGCCACGGCUAACUACGCG